ACUCAAAGGAAUUGACGGGGGCCCGCACAAGCGGUGGAGCAUGUGGAUUAAUUCGUCAUUAACCGAAGAACCUUACCAGGGCUUGACAUCCCGCGCUACCCGGGGAAAGCCGGGGUUCCUCUGGGCAACCAGGGGACGCGGAGACAGGUGUUGCAUGGCUGUCGUCAGCUCGUGUCGUGAGAUGUUGGGUUAAGUCCCGCAACGAGCGCAACCCUCACGGCCGGUUGCCAGCAGGUGAAGCUGGGCACUUUGGCCGAACUGCCCCGGCAACGGGGAGGAAGGUGAGGAUGACGUCAAGUCGGCAUGGCCCGUAUGUCCUGGGCUUCACACAUGCUACAAUGGGGUGGACAGAGGGCUGCAAACCCGUGAGGGGGAGCCAAUCCCAAAAACCACUCCUCAGUUCGGAUUGGAGGCUGCAACUCGCCUCCAUGAAGUCGGAAUCGCUAGUAACCGCCGGUCAGCUAUACGGCGGUGAAUACGUACCCGGGCCUUGUACACACCGCCCGU
RNAcentral lists this ribosomal RNA (507 nucleotides) under uncultured bacterium. RNAcentral describes it as "partial 16S ribosomal RNA". It matches the Rfam family "Bacterial small subunit ribosomal RNA", at positions 899 to 1397 of the family's 1533-position model. The record is from RNAcentral.